UCCAGACUCCUACGGGAGGCAGCAGUGGGGGAUAUUGCACAAUGGGGGGAACCCUGAUGCAGCGACGCCGCGUGGGUGAAGGAGCGUUUCGGCGCGUAAAGCCCUAUCGGCAGGGAAGAAGGAGGACGGUACCUGACUAAGAAGCCCCGGCUAACUACGUGCCAGCAGCCGCGGUAAUACGUAGGGGGCAAGCGUUAUCCGGAUUUACUGGGUGUAAAGGGGGCGCAGACGGCAGCGCAAGCCAGGAGUGAAAGCCCGGGGCCCAACCCCGGGACUGCUCUUGGAACUGCGCGGCUGGAGUGCAGGAGGGGCAGGCGGAAUUCCUGGUGUAGCGGUGAAAUGCGUAGAUAUCAGGAGGAACACCGGUGACGAAGGCGGCCUGCUGGACUGCGACUGACGUUGAGGCCCGAAAGCGUGGGGAGCAAACAGGAUUAGAUACCCCGGUA
Molecule: ribosomal RNA, 446 nt
Filed under: uncultured bacterium
Lineage: Bacteria
Description: partial 16S ribosomal RNA
Rfam family: Bacterial small subunit ribosomal RNA
Source: RNAcentral